RNAcentral lists this ribosomal RNA (1080 nucleotides) under uncultured Clostridium sp. RNAcentral describes it as "bacterial SSU rRNA". It matches the Rfam family "Bacterial small subunit ribosomal RNA", at positions 12 to 1108 of the family's 1533-position model. Lineage: Bacteria; Bacillati; Bacillota; Clostridia; Eubacteriales; Clostridiaceae. The record is from RNAcentral.
AUUGAUCCGGCUCAGGACGAACGCUGGCGGCGUGCCUAACACAUGCAAGUCGAGCGAUGAAAUCCCUUCGGGGAUGGAUUAGCGGCGGACGGGUGAGUAACACGUGGGUAACCUGCCUCAAAGAGGGGGAUAGCCUCCCGAAAGGGAGAUUAAUACCGCAUAAUAUUAGUUUUUCGCAUGAAGAACUAAUUAAAGGAGUAAUCCGCUUUGAGAUGGACCCGCGGCGCAUUAGCUAGUUGGUGAGGUAACGGCUCACCAAGGCGACGAUGCGUAGCCGACCUGAGAGGGUGAUCGGCCACAUUGGAACUGAGACACGGUCCAGACUCCUACGGGAGGCAGCAGUGGGGAAUAUUGCACAAUGGGCGAAAGCCUGAUGCAGCAACGCCGCGUGAGUGAUGAAGGCCUUCGGGUUGUAAAGCUCUGUCUUUGGGGACGAUAAUGACGGUACCCAAGGAGGAAGCCACGGCUAACUACGUGCCAGCAGCCGCGGUAAUACGUAGGUGGCAAGCGUUGUCCGGAUUUACUGGGCGUAAAGGAUGCGUAGGCGGAUAUUUAAGUGAGAUGUGAAAUUCCCGGGCUUAACUUGGGAGCUGCAUUUCAAACUGGAUAUCUAGAGUGCGGGAGAGGAGAAUGGAAUUCCUAGUGUAGCGGUGAAAUGCGUAGAGAUUAGGAAGAACACCAGUGGCGAAGGCGAUUCUCUGGACCGUAACUGACGCUGAGGCAUGAAAGCGUGGGUAGCAAACAGGAUUAGAUACCCUGGUAGUCCACGCCGUAAACGAUGAGUACUAGGUGUAGGAGGGUCCAACCUUCUGUGCCGCAGUUAACACAAUAAAUACUCCGCCUGGGAAGUACGAUCGCAAGAUUAAAACUCAAAGGAAUUGACGGGGGCCCGCACAAGCAGCGGAGCAUGUGGUUUAAUUCGAAGCAACGCGGAGAACCUUACCUGGACUUGACAUCCCCUGAAUAGUGCAGAGAUACAUGAAGCCCUUCGGGGCAGGGAAACAGGUGGUUGCAUGGUUGUCGUCACCUCCUGUCGUGGAAAUGUUAGGUUUAAUUCCUGCAACGAAGGGCAACCCCCAU